CGCAUAUUCUCAUUCUCAAAUUCUCAUUACAAGUUCUUUCAAUAUCCUCACAUACAGUUUUCUGACUUGAGCGUCGGAGUGGCCUGCCAAAAAGCCAUCCACCUAAUUAUCUUUUUGCAUUGCAGGCUUACGUGACAUUAGGACCAAAUCCUAGAAACUUCCGGUAGCGUCACUUAACUUGGCCGACAAUUUACAACGGACAUUUUAGCUACUUGUUAUAAUUAAACAAUAAAAGAGUUCGAAUGUUGUGAUUAACUAAUUAAUUAACGCUCAAAUUCAGCUACAAACAUUUUGCAACCCCUCAUGCUCAACUUGGAGAGAAGUGAAAAAUCAAGUCCUCCAGUUUCAAUGCUAAGAUACAUGUAUAUACUCAAACUCUAUGGUCAGCUUGUUGAUCGUUGUUCUUGGCACCAUCCUUUCCCUCAAACUUGAUGUACUUGUACCAUUUUGCACAUAUAAUGUAGACUAUGAAAUCUGCACUUGUCAAAGCUGCCAAGAGGAAGUAAAAUCGAUCUAGAUGACCUUUGUUAAGAUUUCCUGGGAUCCAUCCUGGCAUGUUAUCUGUAGUAGAGAUUUUCAUGACAAUUGUGACGAGUAAGCUACUCACAUAGUUCCCUAGAGAUAUGGAGGUCAUGCAAAGUGCGCUUCCGAAGCUCUUCAAUCCGUCUGGUGCUUGCCCGUUAAAGAAUUCUAGCUGACCUACAUACAUGAAUACCUCAGAUGCUCCUAUCAGUACAUAUUGAGGAAUUUGCCAGAAAAUGCUCAAAGA
RNAcentral lists this unclassified non-coding RNA (769 nucleotides) under Hevea brasiliensis (rubber tree). Lineage: Eukaryota; Viridiplantae; Streptophyta; Magnoliopsida; Malpighiales; Euphorbiaceae. The record is from RNAcentral.